GUGCUGUUCCCCACAGCCAUCCCACAGCGCUUUGCCAUUGGGACACGAUGCAGAAGGAGAGCGCUCUCCCCCCAGCCCAGGAGUCUUCGCUGCUGAGGAAAGACAGCGACAUAUAUGAAAUAUUUCCUGGAGCUGCCGUGGGGACACAAAGCUUUGCUGGAGAACGUUUCCACAUCACCCACAGCUACACGCAUCAGCACAGCCUGGUUAGGCUGGAGCCCAAUGCAAGCAGGCGUGGGGCUGAGCACAGCACUGGGAGGGGGCCUGGCCCACCCCCACCUGCACGGCCCGAGCUGCUCUUUGUUAGCUUUUAUUACUUAUUUCUUUACUAUGCUUAAACUCGUAUGCUGUUCCAAAGUUGCCCCGUUUCAUGUCAUUGUUUGUUGCUGUGUUUGAAAGUUGGCACAUAUUUGUUCAAUUAAAGAUUUAUUUGCGCUAUUUGUUGAAUAAAGAUUAUUCUUGCUAAAAGCUAAAUAAAGUUUCAUAAAAACUCACACAUCCCCAUAAACAAAAUACAAUGUCCCUUCCAAAAAAUGGUUGCACAAAACAUUUCAAAAUCACUCCGUUCAUUAUACAAUAAAUCCACACACAAAAUAACAAGCCCUUGCCAGAAUACAUCAUAAAACCUCAUUACAACACUUUCAGACCCGAGCUUCAAAGCGGGGACACAAAAGCCUCCCUGAACCCCUGGCCUCAGCAGCUGCCAACCUAACAGCACCGCAGGGCAUCCCGAGGGCCCCCGCACCCAUGGGUGAGGGCUGGGGGACAGAUGGGCACCGUGGGACCCCCACCUCCGCCCCGGGCACCGCGCAGAUGCACCACGGGGAUGCUCUCCCAGGGACAGAGCAUCAAAUGAAAGCACUCCCAAACCACGGCAACAACAGAAGGCGAGCAGUGCUUCCAAAAGCAUCAGGAGGAGUCAGCACAAUUGCCACGCGGGCCCCAAAAGCACAGCUCCAGUCCUCAUUAAAGCAGCAGCCGGCAGAUUGCAGCGGCCGCGAUGCGCGCAGGGAGCAGCGCGUGGAUGCUCAGCAUGGAACUGGGCAACAGCAAAUACCACUGAAGGGAUCCUCACAGCACGCAGCACACAGCACACACAGCAACGGGCUCCCAAGCACCAGCAGGAAGACUUAAAGCAAUCAGCUCUACGCAUCUGACCUUUACCUACUGUAACACCUCAGGCUCUGAGGGAGUGCAGCAAUGCUCCAGAGCCCAAACCCAGGGGCACUGUGCUCCCCCAGCACCAACCACUGCUCCCACUAAGCCCACGCAAGGGCUGUGAAUGCAGCUGGAUGCUGAACGUCGUUGCACUGAGGUCUGGGAGAAUCCAGGCAGCGCAAGAGGGACAGUGAAGAGGAGAUGCUGCUGCAGGCACAC
This 1377-nucleotide long non-coding RNA is filed under the name Chrysolophus pictus (golden pheasant). Its description in RNAcentral is "lncRNA (ENSCPIG00010002087.1)". Lineage: Eukaryota; Metazoa; Chordata; Aves; Galliformes; Phasianidae. The record is from RNAcentral.